This 459-nucleotide ribosomal RNA is filed under the name uncultured bacterium. Its description in RNAcentral is "bacterial SSU rRNA". It matches the Rfam family "Bacterial small subunit ribosomal RNA", at positions 29 to 532 of the family's 1533-position model. The record is from RNAcentral.
AACGAACGCUGGCGGCAUGCCUAACACAUGCAAGUCGAACGAACCCUUCGGGGUUAGUGGCGCACGGGUGCGUAACGCGUGGGAAUCUGCCCUUUGCUUCGGAAUAACAUAGAGAAAUUUGUGCUAAUACCGGAUAAUGUCGCAAGACCAAAGAUUUAUCGGCAAAGGAUGAGCCCGCGUAAGAUUAGCUAGUUGGUGGGGUAAUGGCCUACCAAGGCGACGAUCUUUAGCUGGUCUGAGAGGAUGAUCAGCCACACUGGGACUGAGACACGGCCCAGACUCCUACGGGAGGCAGCAGUGGGGAAUAUUGGACAAUGGGCGAAAGCCUGAUCCAGCAAUGCCGCGUGAGUGAUGAAGGCCUUAGGGUUGUAAAGCUCUUUUACCAGGGAUGAUAAUGACAGUACCUGGAGAAUAAGCUCCGGCUAACUCCGUGCCAGCAGCCGCGGUAAUGUGUGACUG